RNAcentral lists this unclassified non-coding RNA (242 nucleotides) under Hevea brasiliensis (rubber tree). The record is from RNAcentral. Lineage: Eukaryota; Viridiplantae; Streptophyta; Magnoliopsida; Malpighiales; Euphorbiaceae.
UCCCUUUCAUCAAUUAUGGCCUCAUUGAAGGCAAUUUCAUUAUCCAGAAGCAAAACCUCUUGCCUCUUCUGAAGAAAAGGUUGGAUAUCCUGAUCCAUCCCAGGUACCACAUAUUCGGAGCCGGACGCGACAGGCAGAGACGAUGCAGGAAGAGAAGGGGAGUAAGUGGAUUCGCGCUCAGAGGCAAGCUGUUGUACUUUCUGGAAUUCCUGCAAUGUGGUUUGGAAAUCCCUUGCAAGCUU